Molecule: ribosomal RNA, 502 nt
Filed under: uncultured Pseudomonadota bacterium
Lineage: Bacteria; Pseudomonadati; Pseudomonadota
Description: bacterial SSU rRNA
Rfam family: Bacterial small subunit ribosomal RNA
Source: RNAcentral
GGAGUGAUGAAGGCCUUCGGGUUGUAAAGCUCUGUGGGGCGAGACGAAUAAGUGCAGCCUAAUACGCUGCAUGAUGACGGUAUCGCCUUAGCAAGCACCGGCUAACUCUGUGCCAGCAGCCGCGGUAAGACAGAGGGUGCAAACGUUGUUCGGAAUUACUGGGCGUAAAGCGAGUGUAGGCGGUCUGAAAAGUCGGGUGUGAAAGCCCCGGGCUCAACCCGGGAAGUGCACUCGAAACUGCCAGGCUAGAGUAUCGGAGAGGUUGGUGGAAUUCUCGGUGUAGAGGUGAAAUUCGUAGAUAUCGAGAGGAACACCGGUGGCGAAGGCGGCCAACUGGACGAAUACUGACGCUGAGACUCGAAAGCGUGGGGAGCAAACAGGAUUAGAUACCCUGGUAGUCCACGCCGUAAACGAUGGGUGCUAGGUGCUGCGGGCUUUGACUCCCGCGGUGCCGUAGCUAACGCAUUAAGCACCCCGCCUGGGAAGUACGGCCGCAAGGCUA